Molecule: ribosomal RNA, 1177 nt
Filed under: human gut metagenome
Description: bacterial LSU rRNA
Rfam family: Bacterial large subunit ribosomal RNA
Source: RNAcentral
GAAGUGCAGAAACGCACGGAGCUAAACCGGGUGGCAGAAGAGAGGCCCAAGCGACUGUUUCCACAAACACAGGCGUCUGCUAAAGCGAAAGCUGAUGUAUAGAUGCUGACACCUGCCCGGUGCUGGAAGGUUAAGAGGAAGUGUUAGCGUAAGCGAAGCAGUGAAUUGAAGCCCCAGUAAACGGCGGCCGUAACUAUAACGGUCCUAAGGUAGCGAAAUUCCUUGUCGGGUAAGUUCCGACCCGCACGAAAGGUGUAACGAUUUGGGCACUGUCUCAACGAGGGACCCGGUGAAAUUGAAGUACCUGUGAAGAUGCAGGUUACCCGCGACUGGACAGAAAGACCCCAUGGAGCUUUACUGUAACCUGAGAUUGGAUUCCGGUAAGAGAUGUACAGGAUAGUUGGGAGGCUGAGAAGCAAGUACGCCAGUAUUUGCCGAGCCGGUGGUGGGAUACCAACCUUGUUUUAUUGGAAUUCUAACGAGAAGCCUAACAAGCUUGCGGACAGUCUCAGGCGGGCAGUUUGACUGGGGCGGUCGCCUCCGAAAGAGUAACGGAGGCGCCCAAAGGUUCCCUCAGCGCGGACGGAAACCGCGCGAAGAGUGCAAAGGCAGAAGGGAGCUUGACUGCGAGACGGACAGGUCGAGCAGGGACGAAAGUCGGGCUUAGUGAUCCGGUGGUAGAGAGUGGAAUUGCCAUCGCUCAACGGAUAAAAGCUACCCUGGGGAUAACAGGCUUAUCUCUCCCAAGAGUCCAUAUCGACGGGGAGGUUUGGCACCUCGAUGUCGGCUCAUCACAUCCUGGGGCUGAAGUAGGUCCCAAGGGUUGGGCUGUUCGCCCAUUAAAGUGGUACGCGAGCUGGGUUCAGAACGUCGUGAGACAGUUCGGUCCCUAUCCAUCGCGGGCGGAAGAAACUUGAAAGGGGCUGCUCCUAGUACGAGAGGACCGGAGUGGACCGACCAAUGGUGUACCAGUCAUGGCGCCAGCCGUGCAGCUGGGUAGCUACGUCGGGGACGGAUAAACGCUGAAAGCAUCUAAGCGUGAAACCAGCCUAAAGAUGAGGUUUCUCAUUGUGAAAACAAGUAAGGUCCCACAAAGACGAUGUGGUUGAUAGGCCGGAAGUGGAAGUACAGCGAUGUAUGGAGCGGACCGGUACUAAUAGACCGAGGACUUGACUUA